GACGAACCGUGCAAACGUUGUUCGGAAUCACUGGGCUUAAAGGGCGCGUAGGCGGCUUGCCAAGUCGGGGGUGAAAUCCAGCAGCUUAACUGUUGAAGUGCCUUCGAUACUGGCAAGCUCGAGGAAGGUAGGGGUGCGCGGAACUUCUGGUGGAGCGGUGAAAUGCGUUGAUAUCAGAAGGAACGCCGGUGGCGAAAGCGGCGCACUGGACCUUUUCUGACGCUGAGGCGCGAAAGCUAGGGGAGCAAACGGG
Molecule: ribosomal RNA, 253 nt
Filed under: uncultured bacterium
Lineage: Bacteria
Description: partial 16S ribosomal RNA
Rfam family: Bacterial small subunit ribosomal RNA
Source: RNAcentral